Molecule: ribosomal RNA, 497 nt
Filed under: uncultured bacterium
Lineage: Bacteria
Description: partial 16S ribosomal RNA
Rfam family: Bacterial small subunit ribosomal RNA
Source: RNAcentral
GAUGAACGCUGGCGGCGUGCCUAAUACAUGCAAGUCGAGCGAACGGACGAGAAGCUUGCUUUUCUGAUGUUAUCGGCGGACGGGUGAGUAACACGUGGAUAACCUACCUAUAAGACUGGGAUAACUUCGGGAAACCGGAGCUAAUACCGGAUAAUAUUUUGAACCGCAUGGUUCAAAAGUGAAAGACGGUCUUGCUGUCACUUAUAGAUGGAUCCGCGCUGCAUUAGCUAGUUGUUAAGGUAACGGCUUACCAAGGCAACGAUGCAUAGCCGACCUGAGAGGGUGAUCGGCCACACUGGAACUGAGACACGGCCCAGACUCCUACGGGAGGCAGCAGUAGGGAAUCUUCCGAAAUGGGCGAAAGCCUGACGGAGCAACGCCGCGUGAGUGAUGAAGGUCUUCGGAUCGUAAAACUCUGUUAUUAGGGAAGAACAUAUGUGUAAGUAACUGUGCACAUCUUGACGGUACCUAAUCAGAAAGCCACGGCUAACUACGUG